Molecule: non-coding RNA, 343 nt
Organism: Pelobates cultripes (western spadefoot toad)
Lineage: Eukaryota; Metazoa; Chordata; Amphibia; Anura; Pelobatidae
Source: the annotation of a GenBank genome assembly
AGCAUAUUAUGCAGUUAUAUUUAUUAUAGGGCUAUUGAACUAGUUGGUAUGGUGAAUUUUAAGAUGUCUUUAUUAACUAGUUGAUUCAUUACAGACAAUUGGUUUUCUUUGGUCAUUCCCGUAUCAUUGAUACUAGUGUCUCUCUCUCUUUUCAGUUUGACAAACCACAAGGAUGAUGGAAAGGCUGAAGAGGCCAUUGUUAUGACCAUGUUGGAUUUCGUUAUGACAGUUGGAAUAAAGUUACUAAGGACUUAUUACUACAUUUGGAUCUUGUGAUGUCGCAGUAGUCAAGAGGAAAUGGUUGGCUACGCUGGGACUUAUAUAUCCUCUGUUUUACUCUGAU